UACGGAGGGUGCGAGCGUUAUCCGGAAUUACUGGGUUUAAAGGGUGCGUAGGCGGCUAAGUAAGUCAGAAGUGAAAGUUUGCGGCUCAACCGUAAAAUUGCUUUUGAUACUGCUUAGCUGGAAUUAGGAUGAGGUCAGCGGAAUGUGGCAUGUAGCGGUGAAAUGCAUAGAUAUGACAUAGAACGCCAAUUGCGAAGGCAGCUGGCUAGACCGAUAUUGACGCUGAGGCACGAAAGCGUGGGGAGCGAACAGG
RNAcentral lists this ribosomal RNA (253 nucleotides) under uncultured bacterium. RNAcentral describes it as "partial 16S ribosomal RNA". It matches the Rfam family "Bacterial small subunit ribosomal RNA", at positions 524 to 776 of the family's 1533-position model. The record is from RNAcentral.